UAGAAUCUGAGAAACCUGUCAAAAGACA
Molecule: non-coding RNA, 28 nt
Filed under: Rattus norvegicus (Norway rat)
Lineage: Eukaryota; Metazoa; Chordata; Mammalia; Rodentia; Muridae
Source: RNAcentral